UUCGGGGUACUCGAGUGGCGAACGGGUGAGUAACACGUGGGUGAUCUGCCUCGUACUCUGGGAUAAGCCUGGGAAACUGGGUCUAAUACCGGAUAGGACCAUUCUCUGCAUGGGGGGUGGUGGAAAGUUUUUCGGUACGAGAUGGGCCCGCGGCCUAUCAGCUUGUUGGUGGGGUAAUGGCCUACCAAGGCGACGACGGGUAGCCGGCCUGAGAGGGCGACCGGCCACACUGGGACUGAGACACGGCCCAGACUCCUACGGGAGGCAGCAGUGGGGAAUAUUGCACAAUGGGCGCAAGCCUGAUGCAGCGACGCCGCGUGAGGGAUGACGGCCUUCGGGUUGUAAACCUCUUUCACCAGGGGCGAAUGUGACGGUACCUGGAGAAGAAGCACCGGCCAACUACGUGCCAGCAGCCGCGGUAAUACGUAGGGUGCGAGCGUUGUCCGGAAUUACUGGGCGUAAAGAGCUCGUAGGCGGUUUGUCGCGUCGUUCGUGAAAACCCGAUGCUUAACAUCGGGCGUGCGGGCGAUACGGGCAGACUUGAGUACUACAGGGGAGACUGGAAUUCCUGGUGUAGCGGUGAAAUGCGCAGAUAUCAGGAGGAACACCGGUGGCGAAGGCGGGUCUCUGGGUAGUAACUGACGCUGAGGAGCGAAAGCGUGGGUAGCGAACAGGAUUAGAUACCCUGGUAGUCCACGCCGUAAACGGUGGGUACUAGGUGUGGGUUCCUUUCACGGGAUCCGUGCCGUAGCUAACGCAU
This 760-nucleotide ribosomal RNA is filed under the name Williamsia serinedens. Its description in RNAcentral is "bacterial SSU rRNA". It matches the Rfam family "Bacterial small subunit ribosomal RNA", at positions 81 to 860 of the family's 1533-position model. Lineage: Bacteria; Bacillati; Actinomycetota; Actinomycetes; Mycobacteriales; Nocardiaceae. The record is from RNAcentral.